UACGGAGGGGGCUAGCGUUGUUCGGAAUUACUGGGCGUAAAGCGCACGUAGGCGGCUUUGUAAGUUAGAGGUGAAAGCCCGGAGCUCAACUCCGGAACUGCCUUUAAGACUGCAUCGCUUGAACGUCGGAGAGGUAAGUGGAACUCCGAGUGUAGAGGUGAAAUUCGUAGAUAUUCGGAAGAACACCAGUGGCGAAGGCGACUUACUGGACGACUGUUGACGCUGAGGUGCGAAAGCGUGGGGAGCAAACAGG
This 253-nucleotide ribosomal RNA is filed under the name uncultured bacterium. Its description in RNAcentral is "partial 16S ribosomal RNA". It matches the Rfam family "Bacterial small subunit ribosomal RNA", at positions 524 to 776 of the family's 1533-position model. The record is from RNAcentral.